UUUGUGAUGUUAAAUUGCGAAGAUCUUGAGGUUUCGUUUAAGGGCGUGUCUGUGGCGGCCUUACAAAUUUCGAUGUUUCGCCAUGAGAAAGGAAGUUGCUAUAACUCAGACAUACAAUGUCCAAUCUGCCCCAAACUUCACAUGUUUGAGAAGACUCCUGACCUGAAUAUAUCUACAUGCCAAUAUUCAGAUAUCGCUAUAGCGCCACCUGCUGGCAACAGGAAGUGACAUGUUUUACGCCGUAACAAACUACUCCUAGAAAUUUUAUGACAUUUUAUAAUUUUUUUUGGUCAGUCUAAUCUAAAGGCCUUUGCGAUGUUAAAUUGUGAACAUCUUGAGGUUUCAUUAAAGGGUGUGGCCAUGGCGCCGUGACAAAGUUUGAUGUCUCGCCAUGGGAAUAGAAGUUGUUGUAACUCAGGCAUAAGAUGUCCGAUCUUCCCCAAACUUCACAUGUUCGAAAAGAGUCUUGGCCUGAACACAUCUGAAGGUCAUUAUUCCACUAUAAUCAUAGCGCCACCUGCUGACAACAGAAAAUGGCUUGUUUUACACUAACUUAAACAUGCAAUGUCCAAUCUGCACCAAACUUCAAAUAUUUGAUAAGAGUCAUGGCCUGAAGAUAUCUAAAGGCCAAUGUUCAGUUAUAAUCAUAGCGCCACCUGUU
Molecule: long non-coding RNA, 661 nt
Organism: Cyprinus carpio carpio
Lineage: Eukaryota; Metazoa; Chordata; Actinopteri; Cypriniformes; Cyprinidae
Source: Ensembl